This 169-nucleotide ribosomal RNA is filed under the name uncultured bacterium. RNAcentral describes it as "partial 16S ribosomal RNA". It matches the Rfam family "Bacterial small subunit ribosomal RNA", at positions 338 to 524 of the family's 1533-position model. The record is from RNAcentral.
UUUACGGGAGGCAGCAGUGGGGAAUAUUGGACAAUGGGCGAAAGCCUGAUCCAGCAACGCCGCGUGAGUGAUGAAGGCCUUAGGGUUGUAAAGCUCUUUUACCCGGGAUGAUAAUGACAGUACCGGGAGAAUAAGCUCCGGCUAACUCCGUGCCAGCAGCCGCGGUAAU